Molecule: ribosomal RNA, 2958 nt
Filed under: Tolypocladium inegoense
Lineage: Eukaryota; Fungi; Ascomycota; Sordariomycetes; Hypocreales; Ophiocordycipitaceae
Description: bacterial SSU rRNA
Rfam family: Eukaryotic small subunit ribosomal RNA (bases 1-1475)
Source: RNAcentral
AAAGAUUAAGCCAUGCAUGUCUAAGUAUAAGCAAUUAUACAGCGAAACUGCGAAUGGCUCAUUAUAUAAGUUAUCGUUUAUUUGAUAGUACCUUACUACUUGGAUAACCGUGGUAAUUCUAGAGCUAAUACAUGCUAAAAAUCCCGACUCCGGAAGGGAUGUAUUUAUUAGAUUAAAAACCAAUGCCCUCUGGGCUCUCUGGUGAUUCAUGAUAACUUCUCGAAUCGCAUGGCCUUGCGCCGGCGAUGGUUCAUUCAAAUUUCUUCCCUAUCAACUUUCGAUGUUUGGGUAGUGGCCAAACAUGGUUGCAACGGGUAACGGAGGGUUAGGGCUCGACCCCGGAGAAGGAGCCUGAGAAACGGCUACUACAUCCAAGGAAGGCAGCAGGCGCGCAAAUUACCCAAUCCCGACACGGGGAGGUAGUGACAAUAAAUACUGAUACAGGGCUCUUUUGGGUCUUGUAAUUGGAAUGAGUACAAUUUAAAUCCCUUAACGAGGAACAAUUGGAGGGCAAGUCUGGUGAACGUCGCUGGCGCCAGAAAUAGUCGCCCCUCGGUAAACAAGAGACUAGUCGAGCGCUCGUGCGUGACGGGUGAGCGCCGGCGAGACAACCUGGAUCGGGGAAGGCUAAGGGCCCUCGUGCCUACGCUGAUCCCGAGCAGAGCCGAUCCGGCCUGUGUAGAGCGCGCCAAGGUGUCGGUCCUGAGAUCUCAGGGCUUAAGGUACGUGCCAAUCCCCCGUGAAAACGGGGCCCUGCGGAGUAGCACCCGUCGUGCGAAGCCGCAGGGAGCCCCCCCCGGACGGGGGGGCGUACAUCACAGGGCCAGCAGCCGCGGUAAUUCCAGCUCCAAUAGCGUAUAUUAAAGUUGUUGUGGUUAAAAAGCUCGUAGUUGAACCUUGGGCCUGGCUGGCCGGUCCGCCUCACCGCGUGUACUGGUCCGGCCGGGCCUUUCCCUCUGUGGAACCCCAUGCCCUUCACUGGGUGUGGCGGGGAAACAGGACUUUUACUUUGAAAAAAUUAGAGUGCUCCAGGCAGGCCUAUGCUCGAAUACAUUAGCAUGGAAUAAUGAAAUAGGACGUGCGGUUCUAUUUUGUUGGUUUCUAGGACCGCCGUAAUGAUUAAUAGGGACAGUCGGGGGCAUCAGUAUUCAAUUGUCAGAGGUGAAAUUCUUGGAUUUAUUGAAGACUAACUACUGCGAAAGCAUUUGCCAAGGAUGUUUUCAUUAAUCAGGAACGAAAGUUAGGGGAUCGAAGACGAUCAGAUACCGUCGUAGUCUUAACCAUAAACUAUGCCGACUAGGGAUCGGACGAUGUUAUUUUUUGACUCGUUCGGCACCUUACGAGAAAUCAAAGUGCUUGGGCUCCAGGGGGAGUAUGGUCGCAAGGCUGAAACUUAAAGAAAUUGACGGAAGGGCACCACCAGGGGUAAACCGCAGUUGCUCUGCCCCUAAAAGCAGCCGGGAAACCGGUCACGCGGGUCCUGGCCGGAAGGCCGAAGAAUGCUAGUCGCCCCCCGGGGCGGCGACACCCUCAAAUUGCGGGAAGUCCCUAAAGCCAACUGAGACCAAGCGGGCGCCCGAAAGGGCCCCGUGGCCGAGCUAGCAGCCCUGGGUACGGUAAAACGGCAGUUGGAUGGAACAAUGGGUGAUCCGCAGCCAAGCCCCUAACCGGCAGCCGCGCAAGCGCUGCCGCACGGGGAAGGUUCAGAGACUUGACGGGGGUGGGUUCAGCCCGCGAGCGCGCUGUGCUUAAGAUAAAGUCCGUCUAUACGCCAAAGCGUAAUAGAGCCCGAUAAAACGGGAGCCUGCGGCUUAAUUUGACUCAACACGGGGAAACUCACCAGGUUAAUCUGGGCCUGGAAAAGUGACGGCUUCGUAGGGAGCCCUUGCUAGUAUCAAACUUCAUCCGCGUGGGGAAGCCCCCAAAGUCGGGCGUGGAGCGGCCUCGUGCCGUUGUUUGAUGCGACACCAGCUGGAACAGGGGACGCCCAACUGCAAGCGAUUGCAGCGGCCAAUCCUGUGGCGAGCUCAGGUAGCGCUGAGCCGUCGCAACGCGCGCAAAGCGGUGGGCCUCCUUCGCGGGAGGCUUAAGGUACGUGCUAAUCCCACAGGGAACUGUGGCUUCACCGAAUAGGCCCGGCAGCCGAAGCGGUGAGGGCGGGCGGCCGUCGAGGUCGCCUGCGUGUGCGGUUACGGCGGCGCUGAUGAACGAAGCGCCGCCGUGGCCGCGUUGCCAGACACAAUGAGGAUUGACAGAUUGAGAGCUCUUUCUUGAUUUUGUGGGUGGUGGUGCAUGGCCGUUCUUAGUUGGUGGAGUGAUUUGUCUGCUUAAUUGCGAUAACGAACGAGACCUUAACCUGCUAAAUAGCCCGUAUUGCUUUGGCAGUACGCCGGCUUCUUAGAGGGACUAUCGGCUCAAGCCGAUGGAAGUUUGAGGCAAUAACAGGUUGACCAUUACAGGCCUGUAACAGUGGGCCUCACUAAAGAUUACCGCUAGUCCAGCGACUUUACCUCCGCGGGGAAGCCCCCAUUAUCGGGCGGAGGGGGCCCUGAAGAAAGGGCCCUGUCGCGGGCGACACCACCUGGAACAGGGAACGCCUGAACCCUUGGUUGGGGGACGGCCGAUCCUGUGGCGAGCCUGGGUUGCGCCAGGCCGUUGCAACGCGCGCAAAGGGGUGGGCCUUCACCGAAGGCUUAAGGUACGUGCUAAUCCCGUGGGCAACCACGCCUCUGCGACUAGGCCCGAUAAGCCGAAGUGCAGGGGAGCCACGGGCGCUGCGGCGCCCGGGGCUGGGGCCUCCGCGGCGCUCUCGCGGGGGCCAUCUGCUGUGAUGCCCUUAGAUGUUCUGGGCCGCACGCGCGCUACACUGACGGAGCCAGCGAGUACUCCCUUGGCCGGAAGGCCCGGGUAAUCUUGUUAAACUCCGUCGUGCUGGGGAUAGAGCAUUGCAAUUAUUGC